Molecule: long non-coding RNA, 778 nt
Organism: Balaenoptera ricei (Rice's whale)
Lineage: Eukaryota; Metazoa; Chordata; Mammalia; Artiodactyla; Balaenopteridae
Exons: 6
Source: RefSeq, a predicted model, not a curated record
AGUAAACUGAAAGUCUUAACGUUUGGAGCCGAUUCCUGGCGACUUUGCCUCAAUUCCCAGAGAUACACAAAUGCAGAAGAGGAAGUAUAAAACUGGUGGAAGUAAAAGUCAUCUUUCCACCUGGACUGGGUUUUUUGCUCUAUCUUGGCUCUGAUAUCUUUAUUUAUUAUAUCAGUGUUGUUCAACAGUGAUCUUCCUCAUCAUCAAAUUUUAAUUUCCCUCUUUUUAAUUUGUUCACUCAUUUUUGCCAUUCCAGUCAUUCUCCUGACUGGUCUUUAACUCUUUUAUCCAUCUACUUCACAAGAUAUCUAGUUUUGUUAUGUUUCCCAGACUUUCAAAAAUUUAUUUUGAUACUGAUGUUUCAAGUUACAUGUGGCGACAGUCUUUCAAAAGAUAUGCCCACCUGAUUAUACCUGUCCCACUGUGGAAAAUGAAUUUUUGUUUCACACACAUUCUCAGAUUACAAAUUCUUGACUCUGUACAUUGAACCCACAGUCAUAACCAGGAAUUAUAAUCCUCCCUAUCAACCACUUACUUGAUGACUUGAGGGAUUGCAGGAUAGAAUUCAUUUCAAUUUCUGGAGACUUCCUUAACAGAGAAAGCCUCCAAAAAACUGAUUCAGCCACUGGACAACAAGUUCCCCAGAAUAGAAGCUUUAACACAGGUCAAGGUUUAAAAAUUUUCAACAUAAAAAAGGGUUUGGAGCAUCCAUAGCUUUGUCUAGGAAACAUAUUUCAACAAAGAUGUAGUUAUUUAACUAGCAUGUAGUUAUAGUAAU